AUAUCACUGUUUAAUGCCGGAUUGUGUAAAGGUGUUCAUGAGAUACCAACCUCUUGUCAAUUUGUGAAUUUCGCCAGCCGUCCUCUCUCGUUUUCAUGGAGACAGACGUUGUGUGCACGGAGGGGAGCGGCUGUGUGUGUGUGUGUGUGUGUGUGUGUGUGUGUGUGUGUGUGUGUGUGUGUGUGUGUGUGAGAGAGUGAGA
This is a long non-coding RNA of Etheostoma cragini (Arkansas darter), 202 nucleotides long. RefSeq lists it as uncharacterized. NCBI's taxonomy places the organism in Eukaryota, Metazoa, Chordata, Actinopteri, Perciformes, Percidae. The record is from RefSeq and is a predicted model, not a curated record. The transcript is spliced from 3 exons.